AUCUCCUGACCUUGUGAUCUGCCCACCUCGGCCUCCCAAAGUGCUGGGAUUCAGGCGUGAGCCACCUUGCCCGGCCAUGGGUGUGUCUUUUACUGGCACCAAGUGAGCAAUAACUUGACAUGUUUGUGCAUGAAUACCUGUGUGUACAUGUGUGCCUAUGUGUUUAUGCCUUUGUGAGUGCGUGUGCUUAUAGGAAUCCCGUGCCUGUGUGCAUGCUUAUGUGUGCACGUGUAUAUACAUGUGUAUGCAUGUGUGAAUGUUUUGUGUACUUCUCUUCAUGCACACAUAAGCUUGUGUGUUUUGCAGUUUGUGUAGGUUUGCACGUGUGCACUUGCUUAUAUGCAGGGGUGUGAACAUGCCUGUGUGUCCCUGAGCAUGUGUGUGCCUUGCGUGUCCAUCUCUGCCUGUGUAUGACUGUGUGUGUGCAUGCAUGCUUGCAGGUGCCUGUGCCUAUAUGUACACUUGAAUUUGGGUGCAACAAAGUCUCUGAUCUGCAGAGGUGGCCAGGCUCUUCCAGACAAUGUUUUGCAGGCCUGUUGUCAGGUGGAGAAAUUGCAUCCCAGAGCAGGAAAACCCAAAUCUUGGGCUCUCAAAGGCUCCUCCAGGCACCCUGAGCUUCCUGGCUGGACUGCUUCCCUGGAACCUGGCUGCCUUUCAGCACUCAACUCUGCCACAGACUCAAGAGACCACAAGGGGGUGCUGGGGCCCCAGACACCGAGCACUAACGGCUAUCUCUAAAUAGUGUGCGUGGGAAGUGAAUGCUGGCUCCUACCACAGGCUGGCAGCUUCUACACCCACCCUGUUGGAUGAUGGGGAUCUGUCCAGGAGUGAGGCCGUUUCAUUUGUGCCACUUUCAGCCUUCAGGCUCCACCCACCCUCCCUGACCCUGAGGAGUGAGUGGGCCCUGGGGGGGCUCUGCAGCCCUUCGCACUGCCCAAGUGUUUGGGGUGGUGCAGCAGCCCAGGUUUGUCAAACUAAAUGUGGUUUCUACAUGUUGGGUUUCUUUAAAUGGAGCCAAUCUACUCCCUUCCCAGUCCCCCACCUGGCUCCCCAGGCCCACCACAUGUGGCUGUGAAUCCCCUGACGAAGGAGAGAAGCCAAAGUCUAGUCCCAGAGCCAGUGUUUAUUAGCAAGAUGGAACCCAAAGGCGGCUGUGGCCUGGGCAGCAGAAGGCCGCCAGGAGCCCCCACCCAUCUACCCAACUGCUCCCAGAGCUAAUUACAUCCACACCCAUUGCUUGACGUGGUGGACAUAAGCCCUGGGGAGCCUCUACUGGCCCCAGGCCUCUACCACGGACCCCCUCCCCUCAGAGCUGGGGCCUCCCGUCAGCCCUGCCUGGGCCUGGCCCCUCUGCUAUGCUCCCAGCCUCCGAGUCAAACUGGCACAGGGAAAGCUAAGGAGGUAGAGUGGGGUGGCCCUGCCCUGGCCAGGCGGGGAGGGGAGAAGGGGCUGAAGGGGCUGUCCCACCCAGGCAGGAUGCCUCUUCUCCUAUCCCCAAUAAAUAGAGAAUAAAUACCCAGGAAGGGGCUGGCCGUGGCUGAGUGCCCCCAACCCAGGCAGGGCCUGGCAUCCUGUGAUGGCCCCUUCUUCCCUUCUCUGAGUGCACUUAAGGCCACCCCAGUCUCCAAAGUGGUCCUCGCAUCCAUGUCUAUGCCACAGCACAGGUUGACAGUGACAGCACACAUCAGAAAAGGUGGACAGUCCGUGCCCCAUUCGAGCAGGGCUUGUUCCCUCCCUUUGUCCUGUAGAUCUUGGUGGAGGCUGUCAAGCAGGUAGACUUCCAGCUGAGUCUGGGGACUGUGUGGUCCUGGCCUGGCCCCACCAACUGGCUGGGCCUGUUUAGGCUGGCUCUGUUUUCUGCCGUCUCUGACCAACAUGGGUCUAAGUUUUGGAGGAUGCUGCCACUAAGGCAGGCUAUAUUCAACCCACCAAUAAAUACUGUCUUUGCAGGG
Molecule: non-coding RNA, 1952 nt
Organism: Macaca mulatta (Rhesus monkey)
Lineage: Eukaryota; Metazoa; Chordata; Mammalia; Primates; Cercopithecidae
Source: RefSeq, a predicted model, not a curated record